Molecule: transfer RNA, 72 nt
Filed under: Canis lupus familiaris (dog)
Lineage: Eukaryota; Metazoa; Chordata; Mammalia; Carnivora; Canidae
Also listed under: 2 other names
Rfam family: tRNA
About the family: Transfer RNA (tRNA) molecules are approximately 80 nucleotides in length. Their secondary structure includes four short double-helical elements and three loops (D, anti-codon, and T loops).
Source: Rfam by way of RNAcentral
ACCUAGCUGGCUCAGUGGGAAGAGCAUGGGACUCUUGAUCUCAGAGUGUGGAUUCAAGUCCCAUGUUGGGAG